GGGAGGUAAUUUCAUUACCUUUACAAUUAUAUUAAACAUUAAUUUCGUUUUCUAUUUAGGUUAGCUUAUUAAAACUUUUCAGUCUCAAAGUUUCCCUUAAAUAAGUCAAAAUAGAUUAAAUACACACGAACUGCCAUUUACAUGGGAAACAUGAAACAGCGCGCGCCUCCCGCCCAGCUGACCUCAACCAGAGCGCGCGACCGCGCGUGCACAGCAGAACAACGGUGGCUGACAGGACGCGGUGUUGUUUCUCUGAACUGAGACCCGUUUAAAAUACACAAUAACUUAUUUUAGUUGCUUAAGAGUUAUGAAAACAGCAUGUUAACAUACUUAUUAUGGCUCACAGAAUCUCGCCCGACAGUAUAAACCGUGUUUUAUGCUGCACUGACAGGAAUGUUCAUCUGACAGGAAAUUUCGUUUUAUCAGUUUUGUGGGACAUGUUUGGUGUUUUGGACUGGUGAAGGUAAGAGCAGCGUUACCCUGGCAACCGGAACAUGAAGAGGACCGCGCGCUCUCUCUCCGUCUGACAAAACUACGCCUGCACAAUUCAGAAAUGACAUUUUAAAUUAGCUUAUAUGGAGAAUCCAUUUAAAUGUUCAUUUUAACAUAUGUUUAUUUAAAUGUUUGUAAUGUUCAUGUUCAAUAAAUGAAGUAUUCAA
This is a non-coding RNA of Misgurnus anguillicaudatus (oriental weatherfish), 659 nucleotides long. Lineage: Eukaryota; Metazoa; Chordata; Actinopteri; Cypriniformes; Cobitidae. The record is from RefSeq and is a predicted model, not a curated record.